Molecule: ribosomal RNA, 473 nt
Filed under: uncultured bacterium
Lineage: Bacteria
Description: bacterial SSU rRNA
Rfam family: Bacterial small subunit ribosomal RNA
Source: RNAcentral
ACUCCUACGGGAGGCAGCAGUGGGGAAUAUUGCACAAUGGGGGAAACCCUGAUGCAGCCAUGCCGCGUGUGUGAAGAAGGCCUUCGGGUUGUAAAGCACUUUCAGUAGGGAGGAAGGUAGUGUAGUUAACACCUGCAUUAUUUGACGUUACCUACAGAAGAAGCACCGGCUAACUCCGUGCCAGCAGCCGCGGUAAUACGGAGGGUGCGAGCGUUAAUUGGAAUUACUGGGCGUAAAGCGCAUGCAGGCGGCCUGUUAAGUCAGAUGUGAAAGCCCGGGGCUUAACCUCGGAAUUGCAUUUGAAACUGGCAGGCUAGAGUCUUGUAGAGGGGGGUAGAAUUUCAGGUGUAGCGGUGAAAUGCGUAGAGAUCUGAAGGAAUACCAGUGGCGAAGGCGGCCCCCUGGACAAAGACUGACGCUCAGAUGCGAAAGCGUGGGGAGCAAACAGGAUUAGAUACCCUGGUAGCACAGAG